UAACCUGCCCAAGAGAUCGGGAUAACACCUGGAAACAGAUGCUAAUACCGGAUAACAACAGAUGAUGCCUAUCAACUGUUUAAAAGAUGGUUCUGCUAUCACUCUUGGAUGGACCUGCGGUGCAUUAGCUAGUUGGUAGGGUAACGGCCUACCAAGGCGAUGAUGCAUAGCCGAGUUGAGAGACUGAUCCGGCCACAGUUGGGACUGAGACACGGCCCAAACUCCUACGGGAGGCAGCAGCA
Molecule: ribosomal RNA, 242 nt
Filed under: uncultured Lactobacillus sp.
Lineage: Bacteria; Bacillati; Bacillota; Bacilli; Lactobacillales; Lactobacillaceae
Description: partial 16S ribosomal RNA
Rfam family: Bacterial small subunit ribosomal RNA
Source: RNAcentral